Molecule: long non-coding RNA, 1851 nt
Filed under: Gallus gallus (chicken)
Lineage: Eukaryota; Metazoa; Chordata; Aves; Galliformes; Phasianidae
Description: lncRNA (ENSGALG00010001294.1)
Source: RNAcentral
GUCCCUAUGUGUCUCCAUGGCAUCCCUAUGGGUCGCUAUGGGUCGCUAUGGGUCGCUAUGGGUCGCUCUGUGUCCCCAUGUGUCGGUGUGUGUCCCCCUGGUGGCUGUGUGUCUCUAUGUGUCUCAAUGUGUCUCUAUGGGUCCCUAUGGGUCCCUAUGUGUCUCCAUGGCAUCCCUAUGUGUCCCUAUGGGUCGCUAUGGGUCGCUAUGGGUCGCAAUGUGUCGGUGUGUGUCCCCCUGGUGGCUGUGUGUCUGUAUGUGUCCCUAUGUGUCUCCAUGGGGUCCCUAUGGGUCCCUAUGUGUCCCUAUGUGUCCCUAUGUGUCUCCAUGGGGUCCCUAUGUGUCCCUAUGGGUCCUUAUGGGUCCCUAUGUGUCCCUAUGUGUCUCUAUGUGUCCCUAUGUGUCCCUAUGUGUCCCUAUGGGUCUCUAUGUGUCCCUAUGUGUCCCUGUGGGUCCCUAUGUGUCCGUAUGUGUCCCUACGUGUCCCUAUGUGUCCCUAUGUGUCUCCAUGGGGUCCCUAUGUGUCUGUAUGGGUCCCUAUGGGUCUCUGUGUGUCUCUAUGUGUCUGUACGUGUCCCUAUGGGUCCCUAUGUGUCCCUAUGUGUCUCUGUGUGUCUCUAUGGGUCCCUAUGUGUCCCUAUGGGUCCCUAUGUGUCCCUAUGUGUCCCUACGUGUCCCUACGGGUCCCUAUGUGUCCCUAUGGGUCCCUAUGUGUCUCUAUGUGUCCCUAUGGGUCCCUAUGGGUCGCUAUGUGUCCCUAUGUGUCUGUAUGUGUCCCUAUGUGUCUCUAUGUGUCCCUAUGUGUCUCUAUGUGUCCCUAUGUGUCCCUAUGUGUCUCCAUGGCAUCCCUAUGGGUCCCUAUGGGUCCCUAUGGGUCGCUAUGGGUCGCUAUGGGUCGCAGUGUGUCGGUGUGUGUCCCCCCGGUGGCUGUGUGUCUGUAUGUGUCCCUAUGGGUCUCUAUGGGUCCCUAUGUGUCCCUAUGGGUCCCUAUGUGUCUCCAUGGGGUCGCUAUGGGUCUCUGUGGGUCGCUAUGGGUCCCUAUGGGUCGCUCUGGGUCGCUAUGGGUCCCUAUGGGUCUCUGUGGGUCGCUAUGGGUCGCAAUGUGUCGGUGUGUGUCCCCAUGGUGGCUGUGUGUCUCUAUGUGUCUCAGUGUGUCCCUAUGGGUCCCUAUGUGUCCCUAUGUGUCCCUAUGUGUCUCUAUGUGUCUCAGUGUGUCUCUAUGUGUCCCUAUGUGUCCCUAUGUGUCUCCAUGGCAUCCCUAUGUGUCUCCAUGGCAUCCCUAUGUGUCCCUAUGUGUCCCUAUGUGUCUCCAUGGGGUCCCUAUGAGUCGCUAUGGGUCGCUAUGGGUCGCAAUGUGUCCCCAUGUGUCAGUAGGUGUCCCCAUGGGUGGCUGUGUGUCUCUAUGUGUCUCAGUGUGUCUCCAUGUGUCUCUAUGUGUCUCUAUGUGUCCCUACGUGUCUCUAUGUGUCCCUAUGUGUCUCCUUGGGGUCCCUAUGGGUCGCUAUGGGUCCCUAUGUGUCCCUAUGGGUCCCUAUGUGUCUGUAUGUGUCCCUACGUGUCCCUAUGGGUCCCUAUGGGUCUCUGUGUGUCUCUAUGGGUCCCUAUGUGUCCCUAUGUGUCUGUAUGUGUCUGUAUGGCUCUCUAUGUAUCCCUAUGGGUCUCUAUGGGUCUCUAUGGAUCUCUAUGGGUCACAGUGGCUCUCUACGUUUCUCUAUGGUUCUCUAUGUGUCCCUAUGUGUCCCUAUGUGUCCCUAUGGGUCCCUAUGUGUCCCUAUGUGUCUCUAUGGGUCUCUGUGUGUCUCUAUGGGUCCCUAUGUGUCCCUAUGUGUCUCCAUGGCAUCCCUAUGUGUC